Molecule: ribosomal RNA, 377 nt
Filed under: uncultured bacterium
Lineage: Bacteria
Description: bacterial SSU rRNA
Rfam family: Bacterial small subunit ribosomal RNA
Source: RNAcentral
GACGAACGCUGGCGGCGUGCUUAACACAUGCAAGUCGAGCGGUAAGGCCCUUUCGGGGGUACACGAGCGGCGAACGGGUGAGUAACACGUGGGUGACCUGCCCUUAGCUCUGGGAUAAGCCUGGGAAACUGGGUCUAAUACCGGAUAUGACUCCAUAACGCAUGUUGUGGGGUGGAAAGCCUUGUGCGGCUAGGGAUGGGCCCGCGGCCUAUCAGCUUGUUGGUGGGGUGAUGGCCACCAAGGCGACGACGGGUAGCCGGCCUGAGAGGGCGACCGGCCACACUGGGACUGAGACGCGGCCCAGACUCCUACGGGAGGCAGCAGUGGGGAAUCUUGCGCAAUGGGCGAAAGCCUGACGCAGCGACGCCGCGUGGGGA